AGCCAACUUGUUUCCUUUCCAGAGUUGACUGAUGACAACAUACAGGACGACAUCAGCUGCGUGUUGAAGAUCUUCACCUAUCUUGUUGACAACGGUUUCGGAGCGCCCCACUUCAAGGCGUUAACACAAAUGAUCAGGCUCAUCUACCAGGAAGAGUGCAGGGAUGUAAACACCUCUGACUACUUCGCCGAUUGCACACUGGAAGGAAGUGCAUACUGAUUUAUCACUAUAAUAAAGUGAAGCAUGUUGCACUUGCGAGUUGAGUUUUUGUGUCUAUAAUCCAAAUUUUUUAU
Long non-coding RNA from Morone saxatilis (striped sea-bass), 293 nucleotides. RefSeq lists it as uncharacterized. The record is from RefSeq and is a predicted model, not a curated record. Lineage: Eukaryota; Metazoa; Chordata; Actinopteri; Moronidae. The transcript is spliced from 3 exons.